Molecule: ribosomal RNA, 435 nt
Filed under: uncultured bacterium
Lineage: Bacteria
Description: partial 16S ribosomal RNA
Rfam family: Bacterial small subunit ribosomal RNA
Source: RNAcentral
AGCGAACGCUGGCGGCAGGCUUAACACAUGCAAGUCGAGCGGGCAUCUUCGGAUGUCAGCGGCAGACGGGUGGGUAACACGUGGGAACGUACCCUUGGGUUCGGAACAACUCUGGGAAACUGGAGCUAAUACCGGAUACGCCCUUAUGGGGAAAGGUUUACUGCCGAAGGAUCGGCCCGCGUCUGAUUAGCUAGUUGGUGGGGUAAGGGCCUACCAAGGCGACGAUCAGUAGCUGUUCUGAGAGGAUGAUCAGCCACACUGGGACUGAGACACGGCCCAGACUCCUACGGGAGGCAGCAGUGGGGAAUAUUGGACAAUGGGCGCAAGCCUGAUCCAGCCAUGCCGCGUGAGUGAUGAAGGCCUUAGGGUUGUAAAGCUCUUUUGUCCGGGACGAUAAUGACGGUACCGGAAGAAUAAGCCCCGGCUAACUUCGUG